Small nuclear RNA from Tupaia belangeri (northern tree shrew), 62 nucleotides. Its record names the gene U7. It matches the Rfam family "U7 small nuclear RNA". From Rfam's summary of the family: Animal histone pre-mRNAs are spliced by a different mechanism than nuclear pre-mRNAs and self-splicing introns. This processing involves the U7 snRNP, which contains only one RNA species: U7. The 5' end of U7 RNA is thought to base-pair to a conserved spacer element downstream of the cleavage site in histone pre-mRNA. The record is from Ensembl. Lineage: Eukaryota; Metazoa; Chordata; Mammalia; Scandentia; Tupaiidae.
AAGUGUUACAACUCUUUUAGAAUUUGUCUAGCAGAUUUUCUAGUUUUUACCAGAAAGCCCCA